AUUGAACGCUGGCGGCAGGCCUAACACAUGCAAGUCGAACGGUAGCACAGAGAGCUUGCUCUCGGGUGACGAGUGGCGGACGGGAGAGUAAUGUCUGGGAAACUGCCCGAUGGAGGGGGAUAACUACUGGAAACGGUAGCUAAUACCGCAUAACGUCGCAAGACCAAAGUGGGGGACCUUCGGGCCUCACACCAUCGGAUGUGCCCAGAUGGGAUUAGCUAGUAGGUGGGGUAAUGGCUCACCUAGGCGACGAUCCCUAGCUGGUCUGAGAGGAUGACCAGCCACACUGGAACUGAGACACGGUCCAGACUCCUACGGGAGGCAGCAGUGGGGAAUAUUGCACAAUGGGCGCAAGCCUGACGCAGCCAUGCCGCGUGUAUGAAGAAGGCCUUCGGGUUGUAAAGUACUUUCAGCGGGGAGGAAGGCGGUGAAGUUAAUAACUUCACCGAUUGACGUUACUCGCAGAAUAAGCACCGGCUAACUCUGUGCCAGCCGCCGCAGUAA
This 504-nucleotide ribosomal RNA is filed under the name uncultured bacterium. Its description in RNAcentral is "partial 16S ribosomal RNA". It matches the Rfam family "Bacterial small subunit ribosomal RNA", at positions 30 to 523 of the family's 1533-position model. The record is from RNAcentral.